GUGUAAGCUACUAAGAGCGUACGGUGGAUGCCUUGGCGCUAAAUGCCGAUGAAGGACGUGGUACACUGCGAAAAGCCUCGGGGAGUCGUGUGCAGACGCUAUAUCCGAGGAUGUCCGAAUGGGGAAACCCACCAGGGGUUGUGCCCUGGUACUGUUAUCUGAACACAUAGGGUAACAGAGGGAACGGGGUGAACUGAAACAUCUAAUUAACCCCAGGAAAAGAGAUUAUUCCCUGAGUAGUGGCGAGCGAAAGGGGAUCAGCCCAAACCAUUACCUUUUAGGUAGUGGGGUUGUAGGACUUUACAUAACGGAUUCUACUGGUAACAAAACCUUUCUGGAAAGUUAGGCCAUAGAAGGUGACAGCCCUGUAUGUGAAACCGGGAUGAAUCUAGUAAAGCACCUGAGUACAGCGGGACACGCUAACCCUGCUGGAAGCUGGGAAGCCCACUUCCCAAGGCUAAAUACAUUUAGCGACCGAUAGUGCACAAGUACUGUGAAGGAAAGGUGAAAAGACCCCCGGUAAGGGGAGUGAAAUAGAACCUGAAACCGUAUGCUUACAAACGGUCGGAGCACUAUGGCCCUUCGGGGCAAUGUGUGACGGCGUGCCUUUUGGAGAAUGAGCCAGCGAGUUAAUCUCAGUGGCCGGGUUAAGUCAGGAAUAGACGGAGCCAUAGCGAAAGCGAGUCUGAAUAGGGCGCUAGUCGCUGGGAUUAGACACGAAACCAUGUGAGCUACCCAUGUGCAGGCUGAAGCGAGACUAACCUCUCGUGGAGGGCCGAACUCACUAAUGUUGCAAAAUUAGGGGAUGACAUGUGGGUAGAGGUGAUAUGCCAAACGAACUUGGAGAUAGCUUGUUCUCUCCGAAAUAGCUUUAGGGCUAGCGCUACGUGUUUAGUAUAGGGGGUAGAGCACUGAAUGAGCUAGGGGGCGCGAGCUUACCGAACUCAAUCAAACUCCGAAUACCUAUACUCCAAGCGUAGUAGUCGGACUGCGUGAGAUGAGUUUCGCAGUCGAAAGGGAAACAACCCAGACCGCCAGCUAAGGUCCUCAAAUCUAUGCUAAGUGGGAAACGAUGUGAGAGUGUUCAGACAGCCAGGAGGUUGGCUUAGAAGCAGCCACCCUUUAAAGAGUGCGUAAUAGCUCACUGGUCAAACGCUCUUGCGCGGAAAAUGUAACGGGGCUUAAGCAUAGUACCGAAGCUACGGAUUCCAGAUUUAUCUGGGAUGGUAGGAGAGCGUUCUGUAGGAGAUACAAGGUUGACCGAAAGGACAGCUGCGGCCUACAGAAGUGAGAAUGCUGGCAUGAGUAGCGUAAAACAUGUGAGAAACAUGUUCCCCGUAAACCUAAGGUUUCCGACGGAAGGUUAAUCCGCGUCGGGUUAGUCGGGCCUUAGCCGAGGCCGAAAGGCGUAGGUGAUGGACAACUGGUUAAUAUUCCAGUACCGCUUAUGUGGAGCGAUGAGGGGACGCAGUAUGGUAGGUCAGCCCGUCUAAAUGGACAUGGCGGGUCUAAACAUCUAGGACGUUGAAGGGUGUAGGAAAAUCCGCGCCUGGAGUCUGAAGUGUGAAUGCGAUGCCAAUUGCGGCAGAAGUGAUUGAGCCAAGCUGUCAAGAAAAGCCUCUAAGCGUUGAAGUGUGAGCGCCCGUACCGCAAACCGACACCGGUAGGUGGGUAGAAGAUACCAAGGGGAUCGGGAGAACCCUCGUUAAGGAAUUAGGCAAAAUACAUCCGUAACUUCGGGAGAAGGGUGGCCUCUGACGGUUAGCAAUUAUGCAAAGCUGUUGGGGGCCGCAGAGAAAUGGCUCUUCCAACUGUUUAACAAAAACACAGGUCUCUGCUAAGUCGAAAGACGACGUAUAGGGGCUGACGCCUGCCCAGUGCUGGAAGGUUAAGGGGAGAGGUUAGACGAAAGUCGAGGCUUUGAACCGAAGCCCCAGUGAACGGCGGCCGUAACUAUAACGGUCCUAAGGUAGCGAAAUUCCUUGUCGGGUAAGUUCCGACCCGCACGAAUGGCGUAAUGAGAGGAGCACUGUCUCAACGAGGGACCCGGCGAAAUUGAAGUACGUGUAAAGAUGCGCGUUACCCGCAGCGGGACAAAAAGACCCCGUGGAGCUUUACUAUAACUUGGCAUUGGAUUAGGGCUUAACUUGUGUAGGAUAGGUGGGAGGCUAUGAAGCUGGGACGCCAGUCUCGGUGGAGCCACCGUUGAAAUACCACCCUGGUUAAGUUUUGAUUCUAACCUGCGUCCGUAAUCCGGCGUGGGAACAGUGCCUGGUGGGUAGUUUGACUGGGGCGGUCGCCUCCGAAAGUGUAACAGAGGCGCCCAAAGGUUCUCUCAGGCUGAAUGGAAACCAGCCAUAGAGUGUAAAGGCACAAGAGAGCUUGACUGCAAGACAUACAAGUCGCGCAGGGACGAAAGUCGGGCUUAGUGAUCCCACGGUACCGAGUGGAAGGGCCGUGGCUUACCGGAUAAAAGCUACCCCGGGGAUAACAGGGUAGUCUGGUCCAAGAGUUCAUAUCGACGACCAGGUUCGCCACCUCGAUGUCGGCUCAUCACAUCCUGGGGCUGGAUAAGGUCCCAAGGGUUGGGCUGUUCGCCCAUUAAAGUGGUACGUGAGCUGGGUUCAGACCGUCGUGAGACAGGUCGGUCUCUAUCCGCUGUGGGCGUAAGGGAUUUGAGAGGAGCUACCCCUAGUACGAGAGGACCGGGGUGGACAGACCUCUAGUGUGCCAGUUGUUCCGCCAGGAGCAUAGCUGGGUAGCUAAGUCUGGCAGAGAUAACCGCUGAAAGCAUCUAAGUGGGAAACUCGCCUCAAGAUGAGAUCCCUCAUCCGUAAUGGAGUAAGACCGCUAGGAGACGACUAGCUUGAUAGGCGGCAUGUGUAAGUGCAGUAAUGCAUUCAGCUAAGCCGUACUAAUGGUCGAGGGCUUACGAUA
RNAcentral lists this ribosomal RNA (2937 nucleotides) under Chloroflexota bacterium. Its description in RNAcentral is "Chloroflexi bacterium (wastewater metagenome) 23S ribosomal RNA". It matches the Rfam family "Bacterial large subunit ribosomal RNA". Lineage: Bacteria; Bacillati; Chloroflexota. The record is from RNAcentral.